RNAcentral lists this unclassified non-coding RNA (345 nucleotides) under soil metagenome. RNAcentral's name for it is "partial contains 5.8S ribosomal RNA, internal transcribed spacer 2, and large subunit ribosomal RNA". The stretch from base 1 to 120 matches the Rfam family "5.8S ribosomal RNA", at positions 35 to 154 of the family's 154-position model. The record is from RNAcentral.
GACGAAGAACGUAGCGAAAUGCGAUAAGUAGUGUGAAUUGCAGAAUUCCGUGAAUCAUCGAAUCUUUGAACGCACAUUGCGCCUUCUGGUAUUCCGGAAGGCAUGCCUGUUCGAGCGUCAUUGCUGCCCUCAAGCACGGCUUGUGUGUUGGGCCUCCGUCCUCCUCCCGGGGGACGGGCCCGAAAGGCAGCGGCGGCACCGCGUCCGGUCCUCGAGCGUAUGGGGCUUCGUCACCCGCUCUUGUAGGCCCGGCCGGCGCUUGCCGACACAUCAAUCUUUUUUCCAGGUUGACCUCGGAUCAGGUAGGGAUACCCGCUGAACUUAAGCAUAUCAAUAAGCGGAGGA